This 2361-nucleotide long non-coding RNA is filed under the name Sparus aurata (gilthead seabream). RNAcentral describes it as "lncRNA (ENSSAUG00010018373.1)". The record is from RNAcentral. Lineage: Eukaryota; Metazoa; Chordata; Actinopteri; Spariformes; Sparidae.
AUGAGGGAGUUGGGAAGAUUUCUACUGGCUGCCAAGUCCCUGGACAGAAAAGUGCAAUCCCUUCAAGAUGUUUUGGUUCCACCAAAGUUUUCCUUAGCGGUAGCAGCAGCCAAAAAAGCGUCUGGUUUCACCAACUCGGCGCAUAGACACAGCACACCAUCUCUUGCUUUAAAAUUGGGGCACUCACUGAAGGCAGCAUGUGACAUUGUUAUAGGACAACAUAUAAAGGCUGAAGAUGAAUUGGCUGCCAACCGAGUAAGGAACUUCUUGGGCUUAGUUGCUGCAGAGUGGGACCUGUAUGUGUCACGCCAUGCAAGAACAAACCUAGAAGAAGAAAGAUGGAACAAAAAAGACAUGAUUCCACUCACAGAGGAUGUCAUGAAGCUUCAGAAAGUGUUGAAGUCCACAGAGGAGGAGGCAAAGGACAAGCUCCUGAAUGGACCAAACCCAACAGCUUACGAGACGCUCAGCGAGUGCCUUCUUGCCCAAAUCAUCCUGUUCAACAGAAGACGCCAAGGUGAGGCGGCAAAAAUGCCUCUGGUGACAUACAGAGACAGAGCCGCUGAGCAACCAAAUGAAGACAUCAUGAAGUGCCUCUCAAGGCUAGAAAAGGAUUUGAGUCAUGAGUUUACCCGGUUAGUGGUCAGAGGAAAGAGAGGACGUAAAGUGCCGGUGCUUCUUACAAAAGGGAUGACUUCCUCACUUGACUUCCUCAUUGAAAACAGGGGUGUGGAGAGGGACAUUUUGGAAAGUUAUGAGUAUGUUUUUGCAAGACAGAAUACCGAUUCCCAUAUUCGAGGUUCAGACUGUUUGAGGAAAUAUGCAGCUCUAAGUGGAGCAAAGAGACCUGAAACACUCACCUCGACCCAACUGAGGAAACACGUGGCUACACUGAGCCAGAUUAUGAAUCUCAAAGACAAUGAAUCGGACCAGCUUGCUAAAUACAUGGGACAUGAUAUUCGCGUUCAUCGCGAAUAUUAUCGGCUCACAGAGAAUACGCUACAGCUUGCUAAAAUGAGCAAGCUGCUCAUGGCUAUUGAACUUGGAACUGAUGUCUACAGAGGCAAAUCUCUUGAUGAGCUUGAUUUAGACUUAGAAAUGGCUUUGUCUGCCAAAGAUGGAUCAAUACAAGAAUCCCAGGUCACGCAAAGCAAUGACAGUGGGGAAACUUUAGAGCUUCCUGAAGACAUGGAUGAACCAGAUAGAAAGCCAUCAGAGGAAAAAAGAGGAGAGACAGGGUCCUCCAAGAGAAAAAGGACGAAGGAGCGUUCUCGGCCUUCUCCAUGUUCAGAUGAAGAGCCACAAAGCCCCUCCUUUUCCCAACCAUUUAAAGUCCAGAAGAGAGGAGAGUCAGAUAUGGAUCUUCCAAAAGGCAUCCGUCGCAGGCCUUGGAGUAAACGGGAGAAAGAAGCUGUAUGGAGGCAGUUGGGGAAGUAUAUCACACUUCUACGAGUUCCUGGGAAAGAGGAGUGCAUGAAUGCAUUACAAGCUGAACGUGCGCUGAAAAGGCGCACAUGGACAGAUGUAAAAAAUUAAGUGUACAAUACAAUCACUUCCCAAAAGAGGAAGAAUUUAUAAGCAAUUCAUUCAUUUGAUGAAGUUUGGUCAUGUGAAUUUCAUAUUCAUUUAUGGCAGUGGUCUUAUUUGUGCUAGCGGUUUUACUUUCUGAAAUGAUUUCAGUCACUUUUUUAUUAUUAUAUAUUAUAUAUAUUAUCGCUAAAUUUAUGGGUAAUUUUCACUGCAGCAAGUGUUGAGGUGUUCAAAAUGCACAAAGAUGUGCAGAAAUCCUGCCAAGUGAUUUUCACUGCAGCAAGAAGUGUUGGUGUUCAAAAUGCACAAAGAUGUGCAUAAAUCCUGUCAAGUAAUUUUCACUGCAGCAAGAAGUGUUGGUGUUCAAAAUGCACAAAGAUGUGCAUAAAUCCUGCCAAGUAAUGUUUAACUGCAGCAAAAAGUGUCAGAAUGCAUGCAGAAAUUGUAAAACUGUUUACAAUAAAGUAAUUUGUUUAAUAUGAGUUUGAGUUUCAUAAUGUAUUAAGACAUUUCUCUAAAGGCGGGUACACACUACAGGAUUUGUCAAACCUUCACAGAUUAGGAGACCACACACUUGAUGAUAACAAAAGACAGAUCGCACAAGAUCUCUCUCUGCUGAUCUUAUAGUGUGUGGUGUUCUCCGUAGUGCACACCACACACUAACCGAUUCUUCAGCAGAGUAUCAGGUUCUUAACGCGCAAUAUUGCAAAUCUCGCGUGGUCAAACGUGACUUCAGUGUAAACAAACAUGGCGGAUGAACCGGUAGAUACAGUGGUGGUUGUUUUAGGCCUAUUACUGGCUGAAAAAGUCAUGGAGACGGCGAGAGUGUGG